AGUGAUGUGACGGAAGUGAAAGGAGAACAGAAGUAGAUGGCGGGAGAGAUGAUGUAGAGGUGAAAUAAGAUAACGGGAGGAGGGAUUUCAAGUGAUCAUAAAAUCCAGAAUGGCCGUCGUUUGUCCAGAAGGUGGGAUAAAUGCAUCUGUAAGCUGAUAUGUCAAACGCCAUCAAGCCCCAAAGAAGAAGGGAGGAGGACAGCACUACUGUGGUAGAGGAGCAGCGUGUGUGCAGACACAGCUGCUGCUGAUGAAUUGGACUGAACCUAGAGAAGAGACAGAAGCUAAAGUAUUGAUCCCGUCAAGUUAGUGUGGAUCUGAUACCAAUAUCAACAUCUGUGCCACGUCUAUUGAUGCUUGUAUCGAUCCGCCCAGCCUCAGUUCAAGCAGCAAUGGGUUCAGUACAGUAUCUGAGAGAGUUCAUCAAGGAGAGACUAACUGCUGUUUGUGAAGAAAUCUUCUCAGAGGUUCAAAACCAUCAUCCAGUAUGAGGAGGAGAUCAACCGUCUACACAGACAGGAUAUCAACCGGAAACCUGAUAGAAACUCACACAUCAUAGACCUCCCAAAACAACAUGACUGUAAGGAAGAGGAGGAUCUGGAUGAGCAGCAGGUCUGUAACCAGGAGAGGAACUCCAGCCUGGACCAAGAGGACCCAGAGACUCCACAGAUUAAAGAGGAAAAGGAGGAACUCGGCAGCAG
Oreochromis aureus is the source of this 701-nucleotide long non-coding RNA. RefSeq lists it as uncharacterized. The record is from RefSeq and is a predicted model, not a curated record. Lineage: Eukaryota; Metazoa; Chordata; Actinopteri; Cichliformes; Cichlidae. The transcript has 3 exons.